RNAcentral lists this small nuclear RNA (163 nucleotides) under Erinaceus europaeus (western European hedgehog). Its description in RNAcentral is "U1 spliceosomal RNA". It matches the Rfam family "U1 spliceosomal RNA". Rfam says of the family: U1 is a small nuclear RNA (snRNA) component of the spliceosome (involved in pre-mRNA splicing). Its 5' end forms complementary base pairs with the 5' splice junction, thus defining the 5' donor site of an intron. Lineage: Eukaryota; Metazoa; Chordata; Mammalia; Eulipotyphla; Erinaceidae. The record is from Rfam by way of RNAcentral.
AUACUUACCUGGCAGGCGAGAUACCCUGAUCACAGAGGUGGUUUUCACAGGGCGAGGCUUAUCCAUUGCACUCUGGAUGUGCUGAUCACUGCGAUUUUCCCAAAUGUGGAAACUUGACUGCAUAAUUUGUGGUAGUGGGGGACUGUGUUCCCACUCUCCCCUG